This 1196-nucleotide long non-coding RNA is filed under the name Arabidopsis thaliana (thale cress). RNAcentral's name for it is "long non-coding RNA (ATHA_LNC000675)". The record is from RNAcentral. Lineage: Eukaryota; Viridiplantae; Streptophyta; Magnoliopsida; Brassicales; Brassicaceae.
UUUGUUCAUAAAUAUAUAUAUAUAUAUAUAGACUAUAUAGUAAUAUAUAAGUAGUCUUCUUAAUUCUUAUUCACAUUACAACAAGAAAUGUGAAUGUUGUAGGAAGAAGAUGAAAAACACAGAAAGUAGGAAAACAUUUCCAUCGUUUCAUCUUAUUACGAAUUUGUUUGCGAUAUAAUCUGAAUAACAACAAUAGAAACUUUAUGAAAAUAUGACAUUUUUUCAUAAAAAGAAUUACAUAAUAUGAUAGAAAGAGAGAGAAAAAUUAAACCAAAAAUGCCUGGCCUUCCCAUGUACGCCGACGACUCAUGAUAACUUUUAUUUUCCCGGCGAAACACCGAAGUAGCCUCUAAUGCAUCUCUUCGCAUUCAUUACCGGUGAGAGUGUAUAUAUAUAGUGGAUAUUAUGCGUAUAAAUAUGCCAAUAUGUACGUACAUGUAAGUGCUCUUUCAUGUCUCCUCUUCGUCUUCAUCAUCUUGUGGAGAAUUCUUUUUUUCUUUCUGCGUCUUGGUUUGAGAGAAAAGAGAGAGGAGAUGAACUUUAAAACUCUUGUCCUAGUUUGGAGUUUGUUUUAUAUGUAUAUACAUAACUCACACGCAUGUUCACUAAAUAGAAUUAUGGUUUUUUUUUUUUUAAUUAAAUCAUAUCAUUGAAGGAAAACAAGAACUUUGACUUACGUGUUCGACCAUCAGUGUGAACUUCUAGACAAAACUUGCCUUCUUGCAAAUUUCAGUUUUUCUUUUAUGAGGUGUCAAUUUUGGUAGAUAAAUGGUGCUACUAAAAUGACAUUAAAAAUUUGCUAUCAUGUAAAUAGACAAAAUAGAUACACACAUGUUAACGUGACUAUACUAAUAGAUGUUGACUAUGGUCACUGCCAAAUGAAACAAAUUUUAUUAUUAUAGGCAGAAAUAAAGUGUUUUAGAAUAUAUUAGGGGAGUUAAUUUGUGUUGAUAUGUUUCUUGUUGUUGUUGCCUAUAGAAUACAUUAGGUAGAAAAUUUUGUUGUCGUUGCCUAAUUCUGGUUUCGUGUGUUGAAAUUAAUGUUUGUUGCCUCUAUGGAGAUUUGAUUUGUGUUGGCUUGUGCUUUGAUUUUUUUAUUAGAUAACUUGGUGUUUGGAAGAGCUAGUAUGACCAAUCAAAUGUGUCAACCGACCUUAGGGAAAGAGAUUGGUAGAUUAAGCUAGUGUUAUCAUUUCC